UCCUGGCUCAGGACGAACGCUGGCGGCGUGCCUAAUACAUGCAAGUAGAACGCUGAAGGGAGAGCUUGCUCUUCUGGAUGAGUUGCGAACGGGUGAGUAACGCGUAGGUAACCUGCCUGGUAGCGGGGGAUAACUAUUGGAAACGAUAGCUAAUACCGCAUAACAUUGACUAUUGCAUGAUAGUCAAUUGAAAGGUGCAAAUGCACCACUACCAGAUGGACCUGCGUUGUAUUAGCUAGUUGGUGGGGUAACGGCUCACCAAGGCGACGAUACAUAGCCGACCUGAGAGGGUGAUCGGCCACACUGGGACUGAGACACGGCCCAGACUCCUACGGGAGGCAGCAGUAGGGAAUCUUCGGCAAUGGACGGAAGUCUGACCGAGCAACGCCGCGUGAGUGAAGAAGGUUUUCGGAUCGUAAAGCUCUGUUGUAAGAGAAGAACGAGUGUGAGAGUGGAAAGUUCACACUGUGACGGUAUCUUACCAGAAAGGGACGGCUAACUACGUGCCAGCAGCCGCGGUAAUACGUAGGUCCCGAGCGUUGUCCGGAUUUAUUGGGCGUAAAGCGAGCGCAGGCGGUUAGAUAAGUCUGAAGUUAAAGGCUGUGGCUUAACCAUAGUACGCUUUGGAAACUGUUUAACUUGAGUGCAGAAGGGGAGAGUGGAAUUCCAUGUGUAGCGGUGAAAUGCGUAGAUAUAUGGAGGAACACCGGUGGCGAAAGCGGCUCUCUGGUCUGUAACUGACGCUGAGGCUCGAAAGCGUGGGGAGCAAACAGGAUUAGAUACCCUGGUAGUCCACGCCGUAAACGAUGAGUGCUAGGUGUUGGGUCCUUUCCGGGACUCAGUGCCGCACCUAACGCAUUAAGCUACUCCGCAUGGGGAGUACGACCGCAAGGUUGAAAACUCAAAGGAAUUGACGGGGGCCCGCACAAGCAGUGGAGCAUGUGGUUUAAAUUCGAAGCAAACGCGAAGAACCUUACCAGGUCUUGACAUCCCGGUGCCCGUCCUAGAGAUAGGAUUUUGCUUCGGCACACCGGUGACAGGUGGUGCAUGGUUGUCGUCGGAUUGUGUCGUGAGAUGUUGGGUUAAGUCCCGGCAACGAGCGCAACCGUUAUUGUUAGUUGCCAUCAUUGAGUUGGGCACUCUAGCGAGAACUGCCGGUAAUAAACCGGAGGAAGGUGGGGAAUGACGUCAUAUCAUCAUGCCCCUUAUGACCUGGGCUACACACGUGGUACGAAUGGGUGGUACAAACGAGUGGCAAGUCGGUGUCGGCGAGCUAAUCUGUUAAAGCCUGUCUCAAGUUCGGAUUGUAGGCUGAUACGUGCCUGACAAUGAAGUUGAGAAUCGCUAGUAUUCGCGAUUCAGGCACGCCGCGGAUAUACGGUUCCCGGGCUUUGUACUCACCGCCCGUC
RNAcentral lists this ribosomal RNA (1409 nucleotides) under uncultured bacterium. Its description in RNAcentral is "bacterial SSU rRNA". It matches the Rfam family "Bacterial small subunit ribosomal RNA". The record is from RNAcentral.